This is a long non-coding RNA of Oncorhynchus gorbuscha (pink salmon), 1716 nucleotides long. RefSeq lists it as uncharacterized. The transcript is spliced from 4 exons. NCBI's taxonomy places the organism in Eukaryota, Metazoa, Chordata, Actinopteri, Salmoniformes, Salmonidae. The record is from RefSeq and is a predicted model, not a curated record.
AUUGGGUUAGUUAUAUAUAGAUCUUUAUAAUACAUUCAUUCGUCUAUGACGUUGAAAUGAUUAUUACCUUCUCAUCAGAUCAAUCAGGCAAUUUGUCCACUGUAAAAAAAAUAAGGCAAGACAUUCUCCCCUUCAUUUUAGACUUGCAUGUAACAUUUUUGCAAAAGCACUUAACUAAGCUAGCUUCAGUAGCAAGUCAGCUUGACAACAGAAAAACAGCUAGCUAACGUUAGCAUUAUUAGCCAUAGUAGCUAGUUAACGUUACUACAAAGCUUGGGUUUCCAAAUUGUAUUAGGCUAACGUUAUAUAAAAGAGAUCUUACCCUGUUUAGUAAAUAGAUAUAUAUUUAAUUUGUGUUUCGUCAAUGUUUAAUAACACUAAGUCUUGUCAUUUUUCCUGCUGGUUGCUCAUGUCGCGUUCAAAUCAACUGGAAACUCGGAAUUCUCCGACUUCCUGGGAACUCGGAGGGAAAAAAUCGAUUUGAAUGGUCAUGCAUUUCGGGAAGUCAGGUCUCUCCCUAGAGCUCAGACUUUCCGAACUAAAGAUCACUGACGCCAUGAUUUAACAUCGUGUUUUUUUUCGACUUCCCAGUUGUUUUAAACGCAGCAUCAUUUCACUUCCUUUGUAUAUUUUGAACUCUGAACGGAACCUUGAGAAAAUUUGGACGACGUUGAUUGGAUGGUCAAGCCCAAUGACGUGUUCAAACGUGUAGUCCUAAACAAGAAACGAGUUUGAAAAAAAGUUGUUGUAUCAACAACUUCCGGUACAUUCAGUGAGCGAUGUCUUAGAAACAUAAACAUAAUUACUAAAUUCGGUAAAAUGGACAACCGUUGUUAUUGUUGUUCAUCAAAGUUCACUCUCUUCAGGAAGCUCACGGAAUAAGCUGCAUUGGAUGAGGCCAGUGGCUACAACAUACCUCCUGAGCACAGUGGUGCAAAAAACACCGAAAUGACAGCUUCCCACAAGAAACAGACACCAGUUCUAUCGUGUUCAUCAUCGAGGACCCCAGCAGCUGCCCUGGCCAGUCAGGCUUUAGACAGUGAUGAGGAUGAGCUUCCCUGGUGCUGCAUCUGUAAUCAGGAGACCUCCAUCCGCUGUCACACCUGUGAUGGGGAUCUUUUACUGCAACCGCUGCUUCAGGGAGUGCCAUGAUAUGUAUGACAGGAAAGAGCACCACACAGCUACAGUAGUUACACGGCACCUAAGAAAAACAAGAGGACGACGACGUGAGACUGCAGGGGCUGGCAUCAGUGUUUCUUGGAGUCACUCUAAAAGAUGUGUACUAUACCUUUUAAGAGGCUGGACAGUAUUCUUGGAAUUCUGCAGGAUCACAAAGAGAAGGCUUAUCCAAACACUACUACCUCUCUUUAGGGUUGAAAAAUUCCAGUAACUUUCCCAAAGUGCCCUGGUUUUCCAGAAAUCCUGGUUGGGAGAUUGCUGGAAUUAUGAGGGAAUAAGCAGGGGUGUAAAGUCCUUAAGUAAAAAAAAUAGUUUAAAAGUACUACUUAAGUAGUUUUUUGGGGUAUCUGUACUGUACUUUACUAUUUAUAUUUUUGACAACUUUUACUUCACUACAUUCCUAAAGAAAAUAAUGUACUUUUUACUCCAUACAUUCUCCCUGACACCGAAAAGUACUUUUUAUUUUACUGGAUGACAUUCACUUGUACUUGAGACAUUUUCUAUUAAAGUAUCUUUACUAGGGAUGCACUGAUAUGA